This 253-nucleotide ribosomal RNA is filed under the name uncultured bacterium. RNAcentral describes it as "partial 16S ribosomal RNA". It matches the Rfam family "Bacterial small subunit ribosomal RNA", at positions 524 to 776 of the family's 1533-position model. The record is from RNAcentral.
UACGUAGGUGGCGAGCGUUGUCCGGAUUUACUGGGCGUAAAGGGCGUGCAGGCGGUUUGUUAAGUGCAGGGUGAAAGCUCCCGGCUCAACUGGGAGAGGUCCUUGCAUACUGGCGAACUCGAGGGAGGCAGAGGAAAGUGGAAUUCCCGGUGUAGUGGUGAUAUGCGUAGAUAUCGGGAGGAACACCUGUGGCGAAGGCGGUUCUCUGGGCAUUACCUGACGCUGAGGAGCGAAAGUGUGGGGAGCGAACAGG